Non-coding RNA from Acanthosepion pharaonis, 95 nucleotides. NCBI's taxonomy places the organism in Eukaryota, Metazoa, Mollusca, Cephalopoda, Sepiida, Sepiidae. The record is from the annotation of a GenBank genome assembly.
UGAAAGAUCGCUUCCCGUACGAUCACCAAAGUUAAGCAACGUCAAGCCUGGUCAGUACCUAGGUGGCUGACCGCUUGGGAAUACUAAGUUCUGUA